GGUAUGGUAUUGGCUUACCGGGGCAACGACGGGUAACGGGGAAUUGGGGUUCGAUUCCGGAGAGGGAGCCUGAGAGACGGCUACCACAUCUAAGGAAGGCAGCAGGCGCGUAAAUUACCCAAUCCUGACACAGGGAGGUAGUGACAAGAAAUAACAAUACGGGACUAAGUCUUGUAAUUGGAAUGAUGGAGAUUUAAACCUCUUCCAGAGUAUCAAUUGGAGGGCAAGUCUGGUGCCAGCAGCCGCGGUAAUUCCAGCUCCAAUAGCGUAUAUUAAAUUUGUUGCAGUUAAAAA
This 294-nucleotide ribosomal RNA is filed under the name Theileria youngi. Its description in RNAcentral is "partial 18S ribosomal RNA". It matches the Rfam family "Eukaryotic small subunit ribosomal RNA", at positions 327 to 625 of the family's 1831-position model. Lineage: Eukaryota; Apicomplexa; Aconoidasida; Piroplasmida; Theileriidae. The record is from RNAcentral.